Molecule: long non-coding RNA, 891 nt
Organism: Magnolia sinica
Lineage: Eukaryota; Viridiplantae; Streptophyta; Magnoliopsida; Magnoliales; Magnoliaceae
Exons: 4
Source: RefSeq, a predicted model, not a curated record
CGAGCCGUAAAUAAUGAGACGUGGCCUUCAAUGGGGUCAAUGUAUGAGCUUAUGAGAAUUAUGAGACAGGGGAUAAUGACUAUAAUCCCCACUUCAUAUCAGUGGGUGAUUGAUAUCAUCAAUCGUUGAUGGACUGGGACUCUCGAGCAUCCACUCCACCAAGCUGCAUACUACCUAAAUCCCAAAUUUCAUUAUAAACGUCGGCUCCAUGAGAAUUAAGAUUUGACGAUGGCCGUCCACGAGGCGUUCGAACGAUUAUUCCCAGAAUCAACAGCGCAAGCAGAUUUCGGUAACCAGUUGUUGCGGUUUAGGGAUGCGAGGGGUACAUUCUCAUCCGCACUAGCAAAAGCAUCGACUAAAAUGAUGAUGCCGUGUGAGUGGUGGGCGAUGUACGGAGUCGACACGCCAACACUGUAGUUAUUGGCAGUUCGUGUUCUCGCACAGACUAUAUCCUCCUCACCGUGUGAGAGGAAUUGGAGCACAUGGUCACUCAUACACACCAGCAAGAGGAACAGACUAGCAUAUGAGAAGCUGUAAAAGCUCGUUUACUGCCAUUACAAUAUGAAGUUAAGAGAGAGACAAUUGCGGGUAGAUCGAGACAUGGAGGAAAAUUAAGACCCGUUAGACCUAUUGUCUAUAGAUAACAUGGCACAGAUAGGUGAUGAUGAUGAGGACCCACUUUAUGAGUGGGUCAAAUCAACUGAUUUAAAUGAUGCGGAGGGAGGCCCUGCCCCACAGGUAGCCGAGGGAGCAGCGGCUCUGGGUAUCGAUGUCGAUCAAGUAGUAGAGGAACAAAAGGCGGAUACAGACUCCUUUGAUCCUUUGGUGAGGAGUUCGGCACAUUCCAAUCAGGGUGAGGAAGCAUCUUCACGGCCCCGUCCUCAUCAUCAA